GUUUGUAGAAGGCACUGAUGGAUGCUUCCCCCUGUGAAAGGAGGACCUCCCAUCAGUUCUGCUUUUUAAACAGUGACCUCAAGAGAAGCUCUGCAGGAUGA
RNAcentral lists this long non-coding RNA (101 nucleotides) under Calidris pugnax (ruff). RNAcentral describes it as "lncRNA (ENSCPUG00000003501.1)". The record is from RNAcentral. Lineage: Eukaryota; Metazoa; Chordata; Aves; Charadriiformes; Scolopacidae.